This 501-nucleotide ribosomal RNA is filed under the name uncultured bacterium. Its description in RNAcentral is "partial 16S ribosomal RNA". It matches the Rfam family "Bacterial small subunit ribosomal RNA", at positions 30 to 523 of the family's 1533-position model. The record is from RNAcentral.
AUUGAACGCUGGCGGCAGGCUUAACACAUGCAAGUCGAGCAGGCGAGGUUGCUUCGGUAACUGAGCUAGCGGCGGACGGGUGAGUAAUGCUUAGGAAUCUGCCUAUUAGUGGGGGACAACAUUCCGAAAGGAAUGCUAAUACCGCAUACGCCCUACGGGGGAAAGCAGGGGAUCUUCGGACCUUGCGCUAAUAGAUGAGCCUAAGUCAGAUUAGCUAGUUGGUGGGGUAAAGGCCUACCAAGGCGACGAUCUGUAGCGGGUCUGAGAGGAUGAUCCGCCACACUGGGACUGAGACACGGCCCAGACUCCUACGGGAGGCAGCAGUGGGGAAUAUUGGACAAUGGGCGAAAGCCUGAUCCAGCCAUGCCGCGUGUGUGAAGAAGGCCUUUUGGUUGUAAAGCACUUUAAGCGAGGAGGAGGCUACUUGGAUUAAUACUCUAGGAUAGUGGACGUUACUCGCAGAAUAAGCACCGGCUAACUCUGUGCCAGCCGCCGCAGUAA